AAAUACCAGUUAAGUGGGAAACGAAGUGGGAAGGCUAAGACAGCUAGGAGGUUGGCUUAGAAGCAGCCAUCCUUUAAAGAAAGCGUAAUAGCUCACUAGUCGAGUCGGCCUGCGCGGAAGAUAUAACGGGGCUAAACUGGUAACCGAAGCUGUGGAUGCGUGUUUACACGCAUGGUAGAGGAGCGUUCUGUAAGCUGUUGAAGGUAGAUUGAGAAGUCUGCUGGAGGUAUCAGAAGCGCGAAUGCUGACAUGAGUAACGAUAAAGGGGGUGAAAAACCCCCUCGCCGAAAGACCAAGGUUUCCUAUCCCAUGUUAAUCAGGGUAGGGUUAGUCGGCCCCUAAGGCAAGGCAGAAAUGCGUAGUCGAUGGGAAAAAGGUUAAUAUUCCUUUACUUCUUAUUAUUGCGAUGGAGGGACGGAGUAGGCUAGAUCAGACGGGUGUUGGUUGUCCCGAUCUAAGCGUGUAGGGGGUUUUCUUAGGUAAAUCCGGGAGAACAUUACUCUGAGACGUGAUGGCGAGGCUCUCUUUUGAGCCGAGUGGUCGAUGCCAUGCUUCCAAGAAAAGCUUCUAAGCUUCAGAUAAUAAGAAACCGUACUCCAAACCGACACAGGUGGUCAGGUAGAGAAUACCAAGGCGCUUGAGACAACUCUGGUGAAGGAACUAGGCAAAAUGGCACCGUAACUUCGGGAGAAGGUGCGCUGUCAGUGGUGAUCGGACUUGCUCCGUAAGCUAUUGACAGCCGAAGUGACCAGGCCGCUGCGACUGUUUAUUAAAAACACAGCACUUUGCAAACACGUAAGUGGACGUAUAAGGUGUGACGCCUGCCCGGUGCCGGAAGGUUAAUUGAUGGGGUUAGUCUUCGGACGAAGCUCUUGAUCGAAGCCCCGGUAAACGGCGGCCGUAACUAUAACGGUCCUAAGGUAGCGAAAUUCCUUGUCGGGUAAGUUCCGACCUGCACGAAUGGCGUAACGAUGGCGGCGCUGUCUCCACCAGAGACUCAGUGAAAUUGAAUUUGCGGUCAAGAUGCCGUAUACCCGCACCUAGACGGAAAGACCCCGUGAACCUUUACUAUAGCUUGGCACUGAACUUUGAACCUGUCUGUGUAGGAUAGGUGGGAGGCUUUGAAGCGUGAUCGCUAGAUUGCGUGGAGCCAUCCUUGAAAUACCACCCUGGUAUGUUUGAGGUUCUAACCUAGGUCCGUUAUCCGGAUCGGGGACAGUGUCUGGUGGGUAGUUUGACUGGGGCGGUCUCCUCCCAAAGAGUAACGGAGGAGCACGAAGGUACCCUCAGCAUGGUCGGAAAUCAUGCUAUGAGUGCAAUGGCAUAAGGGUGCUUGACUGCGAGACUGACAAGUCGAGCAGGUACGAAAGUAGGUCAUAGUGAUCCGGUGGUUCUGUAUGGAAGGGCCAUCGCUCAACGGAUAAAAGGUACUCCGGGGAUAACAGGCUGAUACCGCCCAAGAGUUCACAUCGACGGCGGUGUUUGGCACCUCGAUGUCGGCUCAUCACAUCCUGGGGCUGAAGCCGGUCCCAAGGGUAUGGCUGUUCGCCAUUUAAAGUGGUACGCGAGCUGGGUUUAGAACGUCGUGAGACAGUUCGGUCCCUAUCUGGUGUGGGCGUUGGAGAUUUGAGGAGAGCUGCUUCUAGUACGAGAGGACCGAAGUGGACAGACCUCUGGUGUUCGGGUUGUCAUGCCAAUGGCAUUGCCCGGUAGCUAUGUUUGGACAGGAUAACCGCUGAAAGCAUCUAAGCGGGAAGCCCCCUCCAAGAUUAGAUCUCCCUGGGACUUUAAGUCCCCUUAAGGGUCGUUCAAGACUAGGACGUUGAUAGGCUGGAUGUGUAAGCGCUGUAAAGCGUUGAGCUAACCAGUACUAAUUACCCGUGAGGCUUGACCAU
RNAcentral lists this ribosomal RNA (1895 nucleotides) under Porticoccus sp. RNAcentral describes it as "partial 23S ribosomal RNA". It matches the Rfam family "Bacterial large subunit ribosomal RNA", at positions 1049 to 2925 of the family's 2925-position model. The record is from RNAcentral. Lineage: Bacteria; Pseudomonadati; Pseudomonadota; Gammaproteobacteria; Cellvibrionales; Porticoccaceae.